AUCUUUUUGUGGUUCAUAAGCAUGAUGAUUGGGUCUUCACACAAACGUUUAAGAUGUGCCUCCCUCACAUCUUAUACGUGAGGGAGGCACAUCUUAAAUUCAGCGUAUUUCCUGUCUGAAG
Molecule: small nucleolar RNA, 121 nt
Filed under: Nomascus leucogenys (northern white-cheeked gibbon)
Lineage: Eukaryota; Metazoa; Chordata; Mammalia; Primates; Hylobatidae
Description: Small nucleolar RNA U13
Rfam family: Small nucleolar RNA U13
Source: Rfam by way of RNAcentral